RNAcentral lists this small nucleolar RNA (122 nucleotides) under Echinops telfairi (small Madagascar hedgehog). RNAcentral's name for it is "Small nucleolar RNA SNORA22 (ENSETEG00000026150.1)". Lineage: Eukaryota; Metazoa; Chordata; Mammalia; Afrosoricida; Tenrecidae. The record is from RNAcentral.
UCGCAUGGUGAACGCCCCAUUGUGCUUCGCAAUUCCCUUGGCCUUGACUUCUGUGCCAGAGCAAUGUCUGCAUGGAAAGGUGGGUUCAUCCUUUCACAUGGAUUCAAAAGGUUAGCACCUCU